This 487-nucleotide ribosomal RNA is filed under the name uncultured bacterium. RNAcentral's name for it is "bacterial SSU rRNA". It matches the Rfam family "Bacterial small subunit ribosomal RNA", at positions 39 to 524 of the family's 1533-position model. The record is from RNAcentral.
CAGCGAUAGCUUACCAUGCAGGUCGAGGGGCAGCAGGGACUCCGGUCUGCUGGCGACCGGCGCACGGGUGCGUAACGCGUAUGCAACUUGCCUUACAGAGGAGGAUAACCCGUUGAAAGACGGACUAAUACUGCGUAUGCUCACAGGGAGGCAUCUCCUGGUGAGGAAAAGAAAUUCGCUGUAAGAUAGGCAUGCGUCCCAUUAGCUAGAUGGUGAGGUAACGGCUCACCAUGGCGACGAUGGGUAGGGGAACUGAGAGGUUGAACCCCCACACUGGUACUGAGACACGGACCAGACUCCUACGGGAGGCAGCAGUGAGGAAUAUUGGUCAAUGGGCGAGAGCCUGAACCAGCCAAGUCGCGUGAAGGAAGAAGGUCUUAUGGAUUGUAAACUUCUUUUAUAGGGGAAUAAAGAUAAGUACGAGUACUUAGUUGAAUGUACCCUAUGAAUAAGCAUCGGCUAACUCCGUGCCAGCAGCCGCGGUAAU